Molecule: unclassified non-coding RNA, 386 nt
Filed under: uncultured Phycisphaeraceae bacterium
Lineage: Bacteria; Pseudomonadati; Planctomycetota; Phycisphaerae; Phycisphaerales; Phycisphaeraceae
Description: contains 16S-23S intergenic spacer region
Source: RNAcentral
UCCGGUUUGACACCGGCAGUCCCGCUAGAGUCCUCAGCAUUACCUGUUAGCAACUAGCGGCAGGGGUUUCGCUCGUUAAGGGACUUAACCCGACACUUCACAGCACGAGCUGACGACAGCCAUGCAGCACCUGUGCACGUUCCACCCCGAAGGGCGUCACCUCUGUUUCCAGAGACUAAUCCGUGCAUGUCAAGCCCAGGAUAAGGUUCUUCGCGUUGCCUCGAAUUAAGCCACAUGCUCCACCGCUUGUGUGAGCCCCCGUCAAUUCCUUUGAGUUUUAGCCUUGCGACCGUACUCCCCAGGCGGUGCACUUAAUACUUUUGCUUCGGCCCGGGGGGUGUCAGAACCCUCCAGACCUAGUGCACAACGUUUACGGCGUGGACUAC